Molecule: long non-coding RNA, 848 nt
Filed under: Manihot esculenta (cassava)
Lineage: Eukaryota; Viridiplantae; Streptophyta; Magnoliopsida; Malpighiales; Euphorbiaceae
Description: long non-coding RNA (MESC_LNC010789)
Source: RNAcentral
UUUUCUUGCAUGCUUCCUAGGAGUGUUUUGAGGUGUUUUUAGGAGGUUUUUGGGGGUAUGUUUAGAGUUAUGUUCUUGUUGUUUGGUGCCUCAUUUGAGUCCACCUGUGUAGGUUCGGACCCGAGGAACCGAGACCCCCGGUUGUGAGAUAGUCGUUCAGAGUUCGUUGUUAAAGCUUCAGUCACCAGGUGAGUGGAACAACCCCUUAAGUUUUAAAGUAAAGUAAAUGAAUAAAUGAAUGAAUCAUAAAGCAUUGCCCAUGCAUCAUUAUGCCAUGCAAUAUUUCAGGAUGUUUGCACUAGAAUUCACGAAUAUGCUGCAUUGCAUAAAUUGAUGUUGAUGUGGAUGGUUGUUGGGUGAUCCAUAGUCCUCUGAUGUUAUGUUAUGAUGAUAUGUUAUGGAAGACCAGCGAGGCCCAUUCUACGCCCCUGGCACUAUGUAAGAGAAAGACCAACGAGGCCCAUUCUACGCCCCUGGCACUUUAGAAUGUUAUGUUAUUUAAGAGAAAGACCAGUGAGGCCCAUUCUACGCCCCUGGCAUUUGGAGAUGUUGAGGACUAAUGGUGACAAUACCAUCCUUUAUGUGAUUAGCUGUGAUGUGUUGCAUUUCAUGAAAGCAUGAAUAAGAAAAAGUUAAAUAAUAAUAUACCUAAAAAUGGAGGAAUUAUAAUAAUAAUAAAAUGAAUAAUAAUAUACCUAAAAAUGGAGGAAUUAAAGCAAAUGUUUUUAGUUUCUGCUCAUUGGGCUUUAUAGCUCACCCCCUCUCCCCUAACCCCAGUCUUGCAGGUGCAGAGUAGAUAGAGAAGUCAGCAGAGUAAGAGAAGUUUAUGUAAUAGCUUAGCUGUGGAC